AUAGGUGGCAAGCGUUAUCCGGAUUUAUUGGGCGUAAAGCGUGCGUAGACGGUUUUGCAAGUCUGAGGUUAAAUUUAGGAGCUCAACCCCUAACCGCCUUGGAAACUACAUUACUAGAGUAUAGGAGAGGUUAGUGGAAUUUCAUGUGUAGCGGUGGAAUGCGUAGAUAUAUGAAGGAACACCAGUGGCGAAGGCGGCUAACUGGCCUAUUACUGACGUUGUGGCACGAAAGCGUGGGAGCAAAUAGGAUUAGAUACCCCUAGUAGUCCACGCCGUAAACGAUGAGUACUAAGUGUUGCCAUGAGGCAGUGCUGUAGCUAACGCAUUAAGUACUCCGCCUGAGUAGUAUGCUCGCAAGAGUG
This 362-nucleotide ribosomal RNA is filed under the name uncultured bacterium. RNAcentral describes it as "bacterial SSU rRNA". It matches the Rfam family "Bacterial small subunit ribosomal RNA", at positions 527 to 896 of the family's 1533-position model. The record is from RNAcentral.